AAAUUCUCAAAAACAAAAGAAGUAACAAAAGGCAUACAUCAACCGUUUUUACUGUGAAAACAUGUAAGAUGACCAAAGGAAACAAAUUGACGAACGAGGAAAUUAAAUAAGGGAAUAAUGUGAAAUGCAUUCUUCAGCAAACUCAUAAGCAAAAAAGGGUGGCCUUCUCAUCCUUGAGCCUGCAAAAUGAAACGACGAUCGGUCACCGGUUGGCGUGCAGGCAACAACGUAUGCAUACGGAUUUUUGUUUCAUUAGAACACAUAAGUAAUAUAUGAUCUCAAGUACUAGGAACCCAACAGCUAAUAGUGCACGUACAUGCGUGGAUCCACGGCCACCCAUCAGGGGAAGCAGAGCGGGUAUGAAGUGAUCUGCCAUAAGGCGUUCCCUGAAGUUGCCGAUGCAGAGAGAUCCUGACCAGGCUUCCGUCAUGUAC
This 434-nucleotide long non-coding RNA is filed under the name Setaria italica (foxtail millet). RNAcentral's name for it is "long non-coding RNA (SITA_LNC004708)". Lineage: Eukaryota; Viridiplantae; Streptophyta; Magnoliopsida; Poales; Poaceae. The record is from RNAcentral.